RNAcentral lists this ribosomal RNA (401 nucleotides) under uncultured bacterium. RNAcentral describes it as "bacterial SSU rRNA". It matches the Rfam family "Bacterial small subunit ribosomal RNA", at positions 356 to 774 of the family's 1533-position model. The record is from RNAcentral.
GGGGAAUAUUGGACAAUGGGGGAAACCCUGAUCCAGCAAUGCCGCGUGAGUGAAGAAGGCCUUAGGGUUGUAAAGCUCUUUCGCCCGCGAAGAUAAUGACGGUAGCGGGAGAAGAAGCCCCGGCUAACUCCGUGCCAGCAGCCGCGGUAAUACGGAGGGGGCUAGCGUUGUUCGGAAUUACUGGGCGUAAAGCGUACGUAGGCGGAUGCGCAAGUUGGGGGUGAAAUCCCGGGGCUUAACCUCGGAAUUGCCCUCAAAACUGCACGUCUUGAGACCGAGGGAGGUAAGGGGAAUUCCUAGUGUAGAGGUGAAAUUCGUAGAUAUUAGGAAGAACACCAGUGGCGAAGGCGCCUUACUGGCUCGGUACUGACGCUGAGGUACGAAAGCGUGGGGAGCAAACA